RNAcentral lists this long non-coding RNA (11354 nucleotides) under Triticum aestivum (bread wheat). Its description in RNAcentral is "long non-coding RNA (TAES_LNC026669)". Lineage: Eukaryota; Viridiplantae; Streptophyta; Magnoliopsida; Poales; Poaceae. The record is from RNAcentral.
AAUUACAUGAUGGCUUAAAUAGCCGGAAGCACACGGCUAAAACGCAGCCACUCACCCACUAACUCCAUGCACACACACGCACUGGCCACAACUAUCUGACCCGAUUACUACUCAACUAACCCACGUUUAGUUUGAGUCACUUCCAAGUUUCUGCAGAUCAACUAGGAGUUCACGCAGCCGGCGCAUGGCACAACUGAUUUUGCCCGCUUCUUUCUCCACCUCAUUCUGCUACACAACUCGUCCGCUUGGACUCCACAGAACUAGACGCAUGCAGCUGGCCUAUCCAUGCAAACUACUAACAAACUCAACAGGACACACUACUAACUUGCAUAUACACACAUGAUCUCUUCUCUACGUGAGUACAUGCCCACAGCCAGGUAGGUUGGACGUGACAACAUGCAUGACACUGCUAAAUAAACAUGAUGAAAACCUAGACAACAAGGUAAACUCUAUCAAUCACCCCCUUAACCUUGUUGUCGUUUAUUCGAACACCUCCAUGUCGAUCUUCAAAGCAGCCCCGGCUCGUCGUCGGCCGUCGCGGCAGCAAGGAGCGCCCGCUGCUUCCUUGGCUCGAUGCAGUCCUUGGAGUAAUGCCCGUACUCUUGACAGUUGUAGCAACGCACCUUGCAUAUGUCGAAGUUGCCCUUCUUCUUGCCGGCGCCGCUGCGGUGGCGAGCAAGCCACUCCUCCUCCAUGAGGAGCAGGCGACUCCCACCACCCUGGUCGUAGUUGUUGGCACCCUCGUCCAAGUCGCUCCGGUCCUCCGCCGUUUUGAGCCUUCCCACAAGCUCUUCCAUGGACAUGGUUUUAAGAUCAAGAAGUUGUUCAAUGGCAAUGGCUACCUGGGUAUACUUGGACGACACGAUGCGGAGAAGCUUCUUCACGACAUUCACCUUGUCGAGGUUCUCGCCGAGCGUGCGCAGCUUGUUGGUGAUCCUGUUCAUGCGCAUGGCGAGCUCAUCGAGGGUCUCGCCGCUCCUCAUGCGGAUGGCAUCAAACUCCUUGAGGAGAGUCUGUGCCUUGGCCUCACGGACGCGGGCAUCGCCGACCCGCAUGAUCUUGAUGGCAUCCCAUGCCUCCUUUGCCGUCGCCUUCACGGCAAGCGUGGAGUGCAUCUCCUCCGGCACGGCUCGCAAAAUUGCCGCAAGCGCCGCCUUGUCCUGGCUGAAGCUCCCGCCUCCCUCGAUGGCGUCCCACACGCGUUGGACCUCCAUGUUUACCUUCAUGAUCAGCGACUGCACACAACUUGUGCCCUUUUCUCUGUGUGUGUUCUUCUACCUUUGUGUGUGAGAGUCGUCUUCUUCCUCGGGCUGUGCCAACAUUUGGUAUCAGAGCCAUGGUGACUGAAGGUUCGUGCACGCCGCGUCAGGCUCCGGCCUCGGUCACCAUGGCUCUGAUACCAAAUGUUGGCACAGCCCGAGGAAGAAGAAGACUCUCACACACAAAGAGAAAAGGGCACAAGUUGUGUGCGGUGCCAAGCCUCUGUGUGUGUUCUUCUACCUUUGUGUGUGAGAGUCUUCUUCUUCCUCGGGCUGUGCCAACAUUUGGUAUCAGAGCCAUGGCGACUGAAGGUUCACACACUCCAUCGCCGGGUCACCGCCGUGUGUCGGCCUCGCCGGUGGUGCGCCGAGGCCGGAGCCCGAUGCGGCAUGGCUGCCGCGAGGUGGUGGUGCAGCAGGAGGUCGUCAACCAGGCCAGCAGCACCGUCGUCAUGCGCCGGCUGCGUGAACUCCUAGUUGAUCUGCAGAAACUUGGAAGUGACUCAAACUAAACGUGGGUUAGUUGAGUAGUAACCGGGUCAGACAGUUGUGGCCUGUGCGUGGAGUGCAUCUCCUCCGGCACGGCUGCAGAAUUGCCGCAAGCGCCGCCCUGUCCUGGCUGAAGCUCCCGCCUCCCUUGAUGGUGUCCCACACGCGUUGGGCCUCCAUGCUCACCUUCAUGAUCAGCGACCACUCGAAGUAGUUCGUCGCCGUCUGCGGCGGGUAGACGACGGUGCUGCUGGCCUGGUGGACGACCUCCUGCUGCACCACCACCUCGCGACAGCCACGCCGCGUCGGGCUCUGGCCUCGGCGCACCACCGGCGAGGCCGAGACACGGCGGCGACCCGGCGAUGGAGUGCGCGAACCUUCAGUCACCAUGGCUCUGAAUACCAAAUGUUGGCACAGCCCGAGGAAGAAGAAGACUCUCACACACAAAGGUAGAAGAACACACAGAGGCUUGGCACCGCACACAACUUGUGCCCUUUUCUCUUGUAUUCUCACACUUGCAAUGCAAUUACAUGAUGGCUUAAAUAGCCGGAAGCACACGGCUAAAACGCAACCACUCACCCACUAACUCCAUCCACACACAUGCACAGGCCACAACUGUCUGACUCGGUUCCUACUCAACUAACCCACGUUUAGUUUGAGUCACUUCCAAGUUUCUGCAGAUCAACUAGGAGUUCACGCAGCCGGCGCAUGCUGUUGGGGAACGUAGCAGAAAUUCAAAAUUUUCUACGCAUUACCAAGAUCAAUCUAUGGAGUAAUCUAGCAACGAGGGGAAGGGGAGUGCAUCUACAUACCCUUGUAGAUCGCUAAACGGAAGCGUUACAAGAACGCAGAUGAAGGAGUCGUACUCGUAGCGAUUCAGAUCACGGUUGAUUCCGAUCUAAGCGCCGAACAACGGCGCCUCCGUCCAACAGCAGCACGACGGCGUCUCCCGUGCCUUGAUCCAGCAAGGGAAGAGGGAGAGGUUGGGGAAGACUCCGUCCAACAGCAGCACGACAGCGUGGUGGUGGUGGAGGAGCGUGGCACUCCAGCAGGGCUUCGCCAAGCACUACGAGAGAUGAGGAGGGAGAGAGGUAGGGCUGCGCCUUGGAGAGAAUAACUCAUACGUUGGGCUGCCCCUAGACCUCAACUAUAUAUCGGGGGGAGGAAAGGGGUUGCGCCCCUCUAGGGUUCCCACCCCAAGGGAUGCGGAAGCCCCUAGAUCCCAUCUAGGGUGGCGGCCAAAGGAGGAGAGGGGGAGGCGCACUUGGGGUGGGCCUUAGGGCCCAUCUGCCCUAGGGUUUGCCCCCCUCUUCUCUUGAGGCGCCUUGGGCCUUGGUGGGGCGGCGCCCCAGCCCACCUAGGGGCUGGUCCCUUCCCACUAUUGGCCCACGCAAGCCUCUGGGGCUGGUGGCCCCUCCCGGUGGACCCCCGGACCCUUCCGGUGGUCCCGGUACAUUACCGGUGAUGCCCGGAACACUUCCGGUGACCAAAACCUCACUUCCUAUAUAUAAAUCUUUACCUCCGGACCAUUCCAGAACUCCUCAUGACGUCCAGGAUCUCAUCCGGGACUCCAAACAACAUUCGGUAACCACGUAUAUCUAUUCCCUAUAACCCUAGCGUCAUCGAACCUUAAGUGUGUAGACCCUACGGGUUCGGGAACCAUGCAGACAUGACCGAGACAACUCUCCGGCCAAUAACCAACAACGGGAUCUGGAUACCCAUGUUGGCUCCCACAUGUUCCAUGAUGAUCUCAUCGGAUGAACCACGAUGUCAAGGAUUCAAUCAAUCCCGUAUACAAUUCCCUUUGUCUACUGGUAUGAUACUUACCCGAGAUUCGAUCGUCGGUAUCCCGAUACCUUGUUCAAUCUCGUUACCGGCAAGUCUCUUUACUCAUUCCGUAACACAUCAUCCCGUGAUCAACUCCUUGAUCACAUUGUGCACAUUAUGAUGAUGUCCUACCGAGUGGGCCCAGAGAUACCUCUCCGUCACACGGAGUGACAAAUCCCAGUGUCGAUUCGUGCCAACCCAACAGACACUUUCGGAGAUACCCGUAGUGCACCUUUAUAGCCACCCAGUUACGUUGUGACGUUUGGUGCACCCAAAGUACUCCUACGGUAUCAGGGAGUUACACAAUCUCAUGGUCUAAGGAAAUGAUACUUGACAUUAGAAAAGCUUUAGCAUACAAACUACAUGAUCUUGUGCUAGGCUUAGGAUUGGGUCUUGUCCAUCACAUCAUUCUCCUAAUGAUGUGAUCCCGUUAUCAUUGACAUACAAUGUCCAUGGUCAGGAAACCAUGACCAUCUGUUGAUCAACGAGCUAGUCAACUAGAGGCUCACUAGGGACAUGUUGUGGUCUGUGUAUUCACACAUGUAUUGCGGUUUCCGGUCAAUACAAUUAUAGCAUGAAUAAUAGACAAUUAUCAUGAACAAGGAAAUACAAUAAUAACCAUUUUAUUAUUGCCUCUAGGGCAUAUUUCCAACAGUCUCCCACUUGCACUAGAGUCAAUAAUCUAGUUCACAUCACUAUGUGAUUGUAAUGAAUCAACACCCAUGGGGUUUGAUCAUAUCUCACUUGUGAGAGAGGUUAUUAGUCAACGGAUCUGAACCUUUCAGAUCCGUGUGUGUUUUGCAAAUCUCUGUGUCAUCUUCUAGAUGCAGCUACCACGCUUUAUUUGGAACUAUUCCAAAUAACUGUUCUAUUAUACGAAUCCGGUUUACUACUCAGAAUAAUCCGGAUUAGUGUCAAAGUUUGCAUCGGCGUAACCCUUUACAACGAACUCUUUUACCACCUCCAUAAUCAAGAAAAUUCCUUAGUCCACUAGUUACUAAGGAUAAGUUUGACCGCUGUCCUCUGAUCCAUUUCUGGAUCACUCUUAUACCCCUUGACUGACUCAUGGCAAGGCACACGUCCGGUGCAGUACACAGCAUAGCAUACUAUAGAGCUUACGUCUGAAGCAUAGGGGACGACCUUCGUCCUUUCUCUCUCUUCUGCCAUGGUCAUGUCUUGAGUCUUACUCAAUAUUUUCACCUUAUAACACAACCAAGAACUUCUUUCUCGAUCUAUUUUGAACUCAUUCAAAAUCUUGUCACGGUAUGUAUUUAUUUGAAAGUAUUAUUAAGCGUUUUUGAUCUAUCCUUAUAGAUCUUGAUGCUCAAUGUUCAAGUAGCUUAAUCCAGGUUUUCCAUUGAAAAACACUUUUCAUAACCCUAUAUGUUGUCCAGAAAUUCUACAUCAUUUCUGAUCAACAAUAUGUUAAUAACAUAUACUCAUCAGAAAUUCUAUAGUGCUCCCACUCACUUCUUUGGAAAUACAAGUUUCUCAUAAACUUUGUAUAAACCCAAAAUCUUUGAUUAUCUCAUCAAAGCGUAUAUUCCAACUCCGAGAUGCUUACUCCAGUCCUUAGAAGGAUUGAUGGAGCUUUGCAUACUUGUUAGCAUCUUUUAGGAUUGACAAAACAUUUUUGUUGUAUCACAUACAACCUUUCCUCAAGAAUAUCAUCGAGGAAACAAUGAUUUGACAUCCUAUCUGCAAGAUUUCAUAAAUCAUGCAGUAACUGCUAAUAUAAUUCCAACAAACUCUUUAGCAUUGCUACGAGUGAGAAAAUCUCAUCGCAGUCAAAUCCUUGAACUUGUCGGAGAACAUCUUAACGACAAGUCGAGCUUUCUUAAUGGUGACACUUACCAUCAUUGUCCGUCUUCCUUUUAAAAUCCAUCUGUACUCAACAGCCUUACGACCAUCGAGUAGUUCUGCCAAAGUCUACACUUUGUUUUCAUACAUGGAUCCUCUCUCGGAUUUUAUGGCCUCGAGCCAUUCAUCGGAAUCCGGGCCCACCAUCGCUUCUCCAUAGCUCGUAGGUUCAUUGUUGUCUAGCAACAUGACCUCCAAGACGGGAUUACGUACCACUCUGAAGCAGUACGCAUCCUUGUCGACCUACGAGGUUUGGUAGUGACUUGAUCCGAAGUUUCAUGAUCACUAUCAUAAGCUUCUACUUCAAUUGGUGUAGGUGCCAUAGGAAAAACUUCCUGUGCCCUGCUACACACUAGUUGAAGUGAUGGUUCAACAACCUCAUCAAGUCUCCACCAUCCUCCCACUCAAUUCUUUCAAGAGAAACCUUUCCUCGAGAAAGGACCCGUUUCUAGAAACAAUCACUUUUGCUUCCGGAUCUGAAAUAGGAGGUAUACCCAACUGUUUUGGGUGUCCUAUGAAGAUGUAUUUAUCCACUUUGGGUUCGAGCUGAUCAGGAUGAAACUUUUUUCACAUAAGCGUCGCAGCCCCGAACUUUCAAGAAACGACAGCUUAGGUUUCUCUAAACCAUAGUUCAUACGGUGUCAUCUCAACGGAAUUACGUGGUUCCCUAUUUAAAGUGAAUGCGGUUGUCUCUAAUACCUAACCCAUGAACAAUAGUGGUAAUUCGAUAAGAGACGUCAUGGCAUGCACCAUAUCCAAUAGGGUGCAACUAUGACGUUCGGACACACCAUCAUACUACGGUGUUCCAGGCGGUGUUAGUUGUGAAACAAUUUCCACAAUGUCUUAAUUGUGUACCAAACUCGCAACUCAGAUAUUCAUCUCUAUGAUCAUAUCAUAGACAUUUUAUCCUCUUGUCACGAAGAUCUUCAACUUCACUCUGAAAUUACUUGAACCUUUCAAUAAUUCAGACUUGUGUUUCAUCAAGUAAAUAUACUCAGCAUCUACUCAAAUCAUCUGUGAAGUAAGAACAUAACGAUAUCCACUGCGUGCCUCGGCACUCAUUGGACAGCACACAUCAAAAUGCAUUACUUCCAACAAGUUGCUUUCUUGUUCCAUCUUACUGAAACGAGGCUUUUCAGUCAUCUUGCCCAUGUGGUAUAAUUUGCAUGUCUCAAGUGAAUUAGAAUCAAGUGAGUCCAAACGAUCCAUCUGCAUGGAGUUUCUUCAUGCGCACAUACCAAUAGACAUGGUUCGCAUGUCUCAAACUUUUCAAAAAAAACGAGUAGUCCAAAGAUCCAUCAACAUGGAGCUUCUUCAUGCGUUUUAUACCAAUAUGACUCAAAUGGCAGUGCCACAAGUAGGUGGUACUAUCAUUACUAUCUUAUAUCUUUUGGCAUGAACAUGUGUAUCACUACGAUCGAGAUUCAAUAAACCAUUCAUUUUAGGUGCAAGACCAUUGAAGGUAUUAUUCAAAUAAACAGAGUAACCAUUAUUCUUCUUAAAUGAAUAACCGUAUCGCGAUAGACAUAAUCCAAUCAUGUCUAUGCUCAACGCAAACACCAAAUAACAAUUAUUUAGGUUUAACACCAAUCUCGAUGGUAGAGGGAGCAGGCAAUGCUUGAUCACAUCAACCUUUGGAAACACUUCCAACACACAUCGUUAUCUCACCUUUAGCUAGUCUCCAUUUAUUCCAUAGCUCUUUUAUUUCGAGUUACUAACACUUAGCAACUGAACCGGUAUCUAAUACCCUGGUGCUACUAGGAGUACAAGUAAAGUACACAUUUAAUAUAAUGUAUAUCCAAUAUACUUCUGUCAACCCUGCCAGCCUUCUCAUCUACCAAGUAUCUAGGGUAGUUAUGCUUCAGUGACCGUUCCCUCAUUACAUAAGCACUUAGUCUCGGGUUUGGGUUCAACCUUGGGUUUCUUCACUAGAGCAGCAACUGAUUUGCCAUUUCAUGAAGUAUCCCUCCUUGCCCUUCUUGAAACUAGUGGUUUCACUAACCAUCAACAAUUGAUGCUCCUUCUUGAUUUCUACUUUCGCAGCGUCAAACAUCGCGAAUAUUUCAAGGAUCAUCAUAUCUAUCCCUAAUAUAUUAUAGUUCAUCACGAAGCUCCAGCAGCUUGGUGGCAAUGACUUUGGAGAAACAUCACUAUCUCAUCCGGAAGAUUAACUCCCACUCGAUUCAAGUGAUUGUUGUACUCAGACAAUCUGAGCACAAGCUCAACGAUUGAGCUUUUCUCCCUUAGUUUGCAGGCUAAGAAACUCGUCAGAGGUCUUAUACCUCUUGACGUGGGCACGAGCCUGAAAUCCCAAUUUCAGCCCUCGAAACAUCUCAUAUGUUCCGCGACAUUUCGAAAUCGUCUUCGGUGCCUCAAUUCUAAACCGUUUAACAUUAUUGAACUAUCACGUAGUUAUCAAAACGUGUAUGUCAGAUGUUCGCAACAUCCACAGACGACGUUCGAGGUUCAGCACACCGAGCGGUGCAUUAAGGACAUAAGCCUUCUACGUAGCAAUGAGGACAAUCCUCAGUAUACGGACCCAGUCCGCAUAAUUGCUACUAUCAAGUUUCAACUAAAUUUUCUCUAGGAACAUAUCUAAAACAGUAGAACUAAAGCGCGAGCUACGACAUAAUUUGCAAAAACCUUUUGACUAUGUUCAGGAUAAUUAAGUUCAUCUUAUGAACUCCCACUCAGAUAGACAUCCAUCUAGUUAUCUAAGUGAUUACAUGAUCCGAGUCAACUAGGCCGUGUCCGAUCAUCAUGUGAGACGGACUAGUCAUCAUCGGUGAACAUCUUCAUGUUGAUCGUAUCUACCAUACGACUCAUGCUCAACCUUUCGGUCUCUUAUGUUCCGAGGCCAUGUCUGUACAUGCUAGGCUCGUCAAGUCAACCUAAGUGUUUCGCGCGUGUAAAUCUGGCUUACACCCGUUGUAUGUGAACUUACAAUCUAUCGCACCCGGUCAUCACGUGGUGCUUCGAAACAACGAACUUCCGCAACGGUGCACAGUUAGGGGGAACACAUUGUUGAAAUUUUAAUGAGGGAUCAUCUUAUUUACUACCGUCGUUCUAAGCAAAUAAGAUGCAUAAACAUGAUAAACAUCACACGCAAUCAAAUAGUGACAUGAUAUGGCCAAUAUUAUUUUGCUCCUUUUGAUCUCCAUCUUCGGGGCUCCAUGAUCAUCAUCGUCACCGGCAUGACACCAUGAUCUCCAUCAUCAUGAUCUCCAUCAUCGUGUCUCCAUGAAGUUGUCUCACCAACUUAUUACUUCUACUACUAUGGCUAACGGUUAGCAAUAAAGUAAAGUAAUUACAUCGCAUUGUUCAAUGACACGCAGGUCAUACAAUAAAUUAAGACAACUCCUAUGGCUCCUGCCGGUUGUCAUACUCAUCGACAUGCAAGUCGUGAUUCCUGUUACAAGAAUAUGAUCAAUCUCAUACAUCACAUAUAUUUCACUCAUCACGUCCUUUUUGGCCAUAUCACAUCACGCGGCAUAUGCUUCAAAAACAAGUUAGACGUCCUCUAAUUUGUUGUUGCAAGUUUUUACGUGGCUGCUAUAGGUUUCUAGCAAGAACGUUUCUUACCUACGCCAAAACAACAAUGUGAUAUGCCACUUGCUAUUUACCCUUCAUAAGGACCCUUUUCAUCGAAUCCGAUCCGACUAAAGUGGGAGAGACUGACACCCGCUAGCCACCAUAUGCAACAAGUGCAUGUCAGUCGGUGGAACCUGUCUCACGAAAGUGUAUGUGUAAGGUCGGUUCGGGCCGCUUCAUCCCACAAUACCGUCGAAACAAGAUAGGACUAGUAACGGUAAGCAUAUUGAACAAAAUCAACGCCCACAACAACUUGUGUUCUACUCGUGCAUAGAAUCUACACAAUAGACCUAGCUCAUGAUGCCACUGUUGGGGAACGUAGCAGAAAUUCAAAUUUUUCUACGCAUCACCAAGAUCAAUCUAUGGAGUAAUCUAGCAACGAGGGGAAGGGGAGUGCAUCUACAUACCCUUGUAGAUCGCUAAGCGGAAGCGUUGCAAGAACGCGGAUGAAGGAGUCGUACUCGUAGCGAUUCAGAUCGCGGUUGAUUCCGAUCUAAGCGCCGAAUAACGGCGCCUCCGCGUUCAACACACGUGCAGCCCGAUGACGUCUCCCAUGCCUUGAUCCAGCAAGGGGAGAGGGAGAGGUUGGGGAAGACUCCGUCCAGCAGCAGCACGACGGCGUGGUGGUGGUGGAGGAGCGUGGCACUCCAGCAGGGCUUCGCCAAGCACUGUGAGAGACGAGGAGGGAGAGGUAGGGCUGCGCCUUGGAGAGAACAACUCAUAUGUUGGGCAGCCCCUAGACCUCAACUAUAUAUAGGGGGGAGGAAGGGGGUUGCGCCCCCUCUAGGGUUCCCACCCCAAGGGGUGUGGCAGCCCCUAGAUCCCAUCUAGGGUGGUGGCCAAAGGGGGAGAGGGGGAGGCGCACCUCGGGUGGGCCUUAGGACCCAUCUGCCCUAGGGUUUGCCCCCUCUUCUCUUGAGGAGCCUUGGGCCUUGGUGGGGGGCGCCCCAACCUACCUAGGGGCUGGUCCCUUCCCACUAUUGGGCCACGCAAGCCUCUGGGGCUGGUGGCCCCUCCCGGUGGACCCCCGGACCCUUCCGGUGGUCCCGGUACAUUACCGGUGAUGCCCGGAACACUUCCAGUGACCAAAACCUCACUUCCUAUAUAUAAAUCUUUACCUCCGGACCAUUCCAGAACUCCUUGGGACGUCUGGGAUCUCAUCCGGGACUCCGAACAACAUUCAGUAACCACGUAUAUCUAUUCCCUAUAACCCUAGCAUCAUCGAACCUUAAGUGUGUACACCCUACGGGUUCGGGAACCAUGCAGACAUGACCGAGACAACUCUCCGGCCAAUACCAACAGCGGGAUCUGGAUACCCAUGUUGGCUCCCACAUGUUCCACGAUGAUCUCAUCGGAUGAACCACGAUGUCAAGGAUUCAAUCAAUCCCGUAUACAAUUCCCUUUGUCUACUGGUAUGAUACUUACCCGAGAUUCGAUCAUCGGUAUCCCGAUAGCUUGUUCAAUCUCGUUACUGGCAAGUCUCUUUACUCGUUCUGUAACACAUCAUCCCGUGAUCAACUCCUUGAUCACAUUGUGCACAUUAUGAUGAUGUCCUACCGAGUGGGCCCAGAGAUACCUCUCCGUCACACGGAGUGACAAAUCCCAGUCUCGAUUCGUGCCAACCCAACAGACACUUUCGGAGAUACCCGUAGUGCACCUUUAUAGCCACCCAGUUACGUUGUGACGUUUGGUACACCCAAAGUACUCCUACGGUAUCAGGGAGUUACACAAUCUCAUGGUCUAAGGAAAUGAUACUUGACAUUAAAAAAGCUUUAGCAUACAAACUACAUGAUCUUGUGCUAGGCUUAGGAUUGAGUCUUGUCCAUCACAUCAUUCUCCUAAUGAUGUGAUCCCGUUAUCAAUGACAUACAAUGCCCAUGGUCAGGAAACCAUGACCAUCUGUUGAUCAACGAGCUAGUCAACUAGAGGCUCACUAGGGACAUGUUGUGGUCUGUGUAUUCACACAUGUAUUGCGGUUUCCGGUCAAUACAAUUAUAGCAUGAAUAAUAGACAAUUAUCAUGAACAAGGAAAUACAAUAAUAACCAUUUUAUUAUUGCCUCUAGGGCAUAUUUCCAACACAUGCCACAACUGAUUUUGCCCGCUUCUUUCUCCACCUCAUUCUGCUACAUAACUCGUCCGCUUGAACUCCACGGAACUAGACGCAUAUGCAGCUGGCCUAUCCAUGCAAACUACUAACAAACUCAACAGGACACACUACUGACUUGCAUACACACACAUGAUCUCUUCUCUACGUGAGUACAUGCCCACAGCCAGGUAGGUUGGACGUGACAACAUGCAUGACACUGCUAAAUAAACAUGAUGAAAAC